ACCUCCAGGUCACUUGUUAAAUUAGAAGAAAGGAAUUAAGAAUUGCCUUUUACAGUCAUGGUGGGGAAGUCAGAGACACUUGAGUGAUAGAAGUGUUCCAGCUGGACAGCUGAGGCUGGAAAAACAAGGUAUUCUCUAUUGGAAAACAAAGGACAAUUGUUCAAAUGAGGAUGGAAGUUCCAAGCUAAGACUUGAAGAAUUAUACCGUUUAAGAGCUGGAAAAAAAGACUUCUGUGGUCCUCUGGAUAGGGUCAGAAUAGGAAAGUGGAGAUUCAGUAAAUGACAUGAUUUGCCCCAUCCAUCUCCUAUGGCUAGCUGGUUCCCGAGUCAGUUCUCUUGAUUGCCAGUCUAAAUCUCUCCUAGGACAAUAACAGGCUGCUUGCUCACCAGAGAUUUCCCUGAUACAGUAAAGGAAGCCACCAGAAGCAGGCCUCCCUGGAGAGUUGGACUGGACUCAAUAGCAGUAAGGCGUCAGUCAGGAAGUAUGUUGGAAGCCAAUGGGAAGUGGUUAAUUUCCCAGACUUCCUGAAGGCUCUGUCCUAAGAUACUUCCCCUUUGAGCUGGCCCAAGAGGAAGAGCCAUAGGGUUUAUCCAAAUGGGAAGCAGCCCACAUGCACGUAAAAUGAAAGUCAAUGAUACCUAUAUUUACCAAGAUCAUAAAUAAAACAACUGAAAUGUUGUUCUCUUCUCAGCCCAUUCCACUUUAUUUUCCAUUGGCUUAGGCCAUUUCUGUAGCAGGUUGCUACGGUAUUACUGUGGAAUCGCAUCAACAACAUUGGUUUUUUGAGGAAAGUUGUCCACUAGUAAGAUGACUUCCAGGAGGGAAUUGGGUUAAGCCUGCAGAGUACCAUCAUGGGAAGUUGGAUGUGGGGUGCCAAUCUAAGAAAAGGAAUGAAUAAGGAGAAAGGGAAGUCAGAAGGAACAGAGCUAUGACUGUAAAGUGCUGGUGUAGGAUACUGCACCAGUCUAACAUAAUGGGGGCCUGAUCUAUUUGUAGAUCCCUUCAAAUUGAUCAGAUGGUGUUUUUCCCCAUGGAUGAUGUUUGGGAAAUGGCAUCUGGGACAAUCAUAAUGACAUAUGAGGGAAAUGCCUGGAGAGACUGUGCAGCAUGCAUGAACAUCUAUAAUAAUUGCUGCCACAUGAUUGAGAGAAACCUUUUUUUGACUGACUCCAUGGUCAGAACUGUUAGCAUCUUCAAAAAGUCUUUAUUUUAUCUUCAGUGGACCCUGAUGGUACCUUGGAUGAGAGACCAGUAAGGGCCAGGAGUCUGUCCUUCCUUAUUAAGGUCAUUGUCCUCUUUAAGGUCAUGGUGUUCUCUGAGAAAUGGGGCCUAUUUGGUCUUUUCAUUCAUUCUUUCCAUUGUAAUUCCAAUGAGUAGAGUCUUCAACCAUAAUAAGCCACAAGAAUCUAGGAAUUCGGUGUGGCAGCCAACCCAGCUUUGAUACCCCAAAGCAAGGAAUAGCCUUUGGGAGGUAGCUUUCUAGAUUCCCUUCCUGCAAAGAGAAUCAUCUGACAAUCAAGCUAAAUUUGGAUAUGGACUUGGUAGAACCCAUAUCAUGUAGGAAAGGAGCCCAAUUUUGAGCCUACUCCCCUGGAGAGUGGUGAAGGGGAGAGUAUGUUCCAGAGACAUUAGGAGGAAAUGUUUGUACAUUCAUUGUUGUUAUAUCUUCACUCGUGGCAAAGAGAUUGUUACACAAUGAUGAUUCGUUCCUGUUUUUCUAUUUUGAAUCUGGUAUACAAGAUGGAGGAGUCAUGGCUAGACAGCAGUUCCUGUGGGAGAAAAAAAUCUGAGGAUUUUAGAGACUUGAAAAUUCAGUAUGAGUCAACAGUGUGAUAUGGCAGCCAAAAAAUGUAAUGCCUUCCUAUGCUACAAGAACAGGGGCCAGAAUAGGGGUAAAGGUGUGGAGGGGAAGGGUUAUAGUCCUGCCCAAUUCUACUUUGAGACCAUCUGAAGUACGAGGUUCAGUUAUAGGGACCACAUUUUAAGAACAUUGAUAAGCUAGCAAGUGUCAAGGGGGAGCCUGGGAAAUGUGCCACAGAGCAGUUAAGGAAACUGAGAAGAGUCAGUGAGAUUGAUGACCCAAAAAGGGAUAGAAGAGAUCACAGAAGACAAAAUGGACACCUUUGAGGAGCUAAAAUUAAAUAUAUAUAUAUAUAUAUAUGUA
This is a long non-coding RNA of Monodelphis domestica (gray short-tailed opossum), 2165 nucleotides long. RefSeq lists it as uncharacterized. NCBI's taxonomy places the organism in Eukaryota, Metazoa, Chordata, Mammalia, Didelphimorphia, Didelphidae. The record is from RefSeq and is a predicted model, not a curated record.